GACGAACGCUGGCGGCGUGCUUAACACAUGCAAGUCGAGUGGUAAGGCCCUUUCGGGGGUACGACGAGCGGCGAACGGGUGAGUAACACGUGGGUGACCUGCCCUCAGCUCUGGGAUAAGCCUGGGAAACUGGGUCUAAUACUGGAUAUGACUCCACGGUGCAUGUCGUGGGGUGGAAAGCCUUGUGCGGCUGAGGAUGGGCCCGCGGCCUAUCAGCUUGUUGGUGGGGUGAGGCCUACCAAGGCGACGACGGGUAGCCGGCCUGAGAGGGCGACCGGCCACACUGGGACUGAGACACGGCCCAGACUCCUACGGGAGGCAGCAGUGGGGAAGUCUUGCGCAAUGGGCGAAAGACCUGACGCAGCGACGCCGCGUGAGGGAUGACGGCCUGGU
Molecule: ribosomal RNA, 393 nt
Filed under: uncultured bacterium
Lineage: Bacteria
Description: bacterial SSU rRNA
Rfam family: Bacterial small subunit ribosomal RNA
Source: RNAcentral